UGGUAGUNCACGCCGUAAACGAUGAGUGCUAGGUGUUAGGCCCUUUCCGGGGCUUAGUGCCGCAGCUAACGCAUUAAGCACUCCGCCUGGGGAGUACGACCGCAAGGUUGAAACUCAAAGGAAUUGACGGGGGCCCGCACAAGCGGUGGAGCAUGAGGUUUAAUUCGAAGCAACGCGAAGAACCUUACCAGGUCAUGACAUCCCUCUGACCGCUCUAGAGAUAGAGUUUUCCUUCGGGACAGAGGUGGCAGGUGGUGCAUGGUUGUCGUCAGCUCGUGUCGUGAGAUGUUGGGUUAANNNNNNCAACGAGCGCAACCCCUAUUGUUAGUUGCCAUCAUUGAGUUGGGCACUCUAGCGAGACUGCCGGUAAUAAACCGGAGGAAGGUGGGGAUGACGUCAAAUCAUCAUGCCCCUUAUGACCUGGGCUACACACGUGCUACAAUGGCUGGUACAACGAGUCGCAAGCCGGUGACGGCAAGCUAAUCUCUGAAAGCCAGUCUCAGUUCGGAU
RNAcentral lists this ribosomal RNA (510 nucleotides) under uncultured bacterium. RNAcentral describes it as "bacterial SSU rRNA". It matches the Rfam family "Bacterial small subunit ribosomal RNA", at positions 788 to 1298 of the family's 1533-position model. The record is from RNAcentral.